AUUGAACGCUGGCGGAAUGCUUUACACAUGCAAGUCGAACGGCAGCACGGACUUCGGUCUGGUGGCGAGUGGCGAACGGGUGAGUAAUAUAUCGGAACGUGCCCAGUCGUGGGGGAUAACGUAGCGAAAGUUACGCUAAUACCGCAUACGAUCUAUGGAUGAAAGCGGGGGAUCGCAAGACCUCGCGCGAUUGGAGCGGCCGAUAUCAGAUUAGGUAGUUGGUGGGGUAAAGGCUCACCAGGCCAACGAUCUGUAGCUGGUCUGAGAGGACGACCAGCCACACUGGAACUGAGACACGGUCCAGACUCCUACGGGGGGCAGCAGUGGGGAAUUUUGGACAAUGGGCGAAAGCCUGAUCCAGCCAUUCCGCGUGCAGGAUGAAGGCCCUCGGGUUGUAAACUGCUUUUGUACAGAACGAAAAGGUUUCUACUAAUACUAGGAGCUCAUGACGGUACUGUAAGAAUAAGCACCGGCUAACUACGUGCCAGCAGCCGCCGUAA
This 500-nucleotide ribosomal RNA is filed under the name uncultured bacterium. RNAcentral describes it as "partial 16S ribosomal RNA". It matches the Rfam family "Bacterial small subunit ribosomal RNA", at positions 30 to 523 of the family's 1533-position model. The record is from RNAcentral.